GACGAACGCUGGCGGCGUGCUUAACACAUGCAAGUCGAACGGAAAGGCCCCGUUUUUGUGGGGUGCUCGAGUGGCGAACGGGUGAGUAACACGUGAGUAACCUGCCCCUGACUUUGGGGUAACUUCAGGUAACUGGGGCUACUACCGGAUAGGUGCUCCUGCUGCAUGGUGGGGGUUGGAAUGUUUGGUCGGUUGGGGGUGGACUCGCGGCUGAUCAGCUUGUUGGUGGGGUAGGGGCUUACCCAGGCAUUGACGGAUAGCCGGCCUGAGCGGGUGACCGACCACCUAGGGACUGAGAUACGGCCGGGACAGCUACGUGAGGGAGCAGGGAGGAAGAAUGCUUGAGGGACGGAAGCAUGAUGCACCAACGCCGCGUGCGGGAGGACGGCCGGCCGGUGGGAAGCCGCUUUCGCCUGUGACCGAGCGAGAGUGACGGUAAGGGGUAAAGAAGCACCGGCUAACUACGUG
RNAcentral lists this ribosomal RNA (468 nucleotides) under uncultured bacterium. RNAcentral's name for it is "partial 16S ribosomal RNA". It matches the Rfam family "Bacterial small subunit ribosomal RNA", at positions 28 to 507 of the family's 1533-position model. The record is from RNAcentral.